Molecule: long non-coding RNA, 915 nt
Filed under: Nicotiana benthamiana
Lineage: Eukaryota; Viridiplantae; Streptophyta; Magnoliopsida; Solanales; Solanaceae
Description: long non-coding RNA (NBEN_LNC025844)
Source: RNAcentral
ACCUAGCAACAUUUUUCAGCAGCAAGCUAUGCCAUAACAAAAUACAAAAUGAAUGUUAAGAAAAAUUUCUGUAACAACUUCAUGCGCAUUUUAAGUUAUUAAUUCCAGUCACACCAGUAUUCACAGUUCACGCGAGUCACUUUUGGUUCUUUCCUAGGUUUGGAUUUUCCAAACAAUAAGGUGAUCAUAAAAAUAUAUUCUACAUUAUUCAAGCAUAACAAGACAUGAAAAAAAGUGUGUUUCACAAACAGAAGAUGUUCCAUAAGCAAAGCAUAUUACAGUAUCAAAAAGUUCCAUAAGCAUAAUAAAUACUAGUUGGGAAACAAUAAAGAAAAGGUUCUAUACAAUUAAUCUAAAGUAUAUUCCAGAUAAUUAGCAAAAUCAAAGAAUUCCCAUUUUUUCCCCAUGACUUUGAUCCAAUUCUCUAAUUUGUCGACCUCUAUCAUUUUCAUUCAUAUUUUUCUGUAACUAUCACCUUCACAAAGUAUGCUAACAGUUGCGCUGUAUAACGGUUCUUCCCAUCCAAGUCCCUCUAAUUUGUCCAUACAUUCCUCAAUGUCAGGCCAGCUAUUUUUUCUAAUCAAUAUCUCAAAUGCAAUGCUCAUCUUCUCAUCAAUUUCCAAUUGAGACCAUAAGAAUUUUCUCUUAAUUCCUAAACUUUUCCUUUCAACUGGAACUGAAGAUUGAGACAUAGAAUUAUUAGAAGCUCCAUCAUUUUUGUCACCAAGUAAAUCUUCGGCAUCAUCAGGUGUAUCUAUAUCUUAUUCAGUAGAUACGUAAGAGAUAUUAGGCCUUGGAAUUGUACCGCUUGGACUCUCACCAUGAACUUCUGUUCCGCUAACAACAACAAACAACUACUACCCAGUAUACUCCCACCAGGUGGGGUCUGGGGAGGGUAAUAUGUAGACGAGCNNN